This is a non-coding RNA of Ictidomys tridecemlineatus (thirteen-lined ground squirrel), 1965 nucleotides long. The record is from RefSeq and is a predicted model, not a curated record. Lineage: Eukaryota; Metazoa; Chordata; Mammalia; Rodentia; Sciuridae.
CAGAGAUUACUACCCAACUGGAGAAAAAAGAAAAAACCGUAUCCUGCUUUCUACUUUCAAAAGCUAUCUUGAGUUAUCCCACUCUUCAAAAUAGCCUGAAACCAGAAGCAAUGAAGAAUUAAAAUAUGAGUACAAGGGGAAGUGCUAUAGCUCAAGAUCAAGGAUCAGGAAAGGGGUCUAAUGGACAGAAAGAAGAUGUCCUCUUGUUUUCUUGAGCAAAAUCCAAAGGAAUACACAGCUGUUUAGAGAAGUACUGAACACAAGAACCAAGGUUUGGAGUUUCAGCUCUCUGCUUUCCUUUGACAGGAAAUCCAGCUGUCAAAUUUGGUUUGCAGUGGGAAUUUUACAAAGAAAAUUCCAUCUGAACAAAAGUGAUUUAGAAGAAACAUAAAGGAAUGAGGAACUAUGAAAAGCAAGUGCCUUGCUUCAACCAGUUUGUCAGAAAGUUCUUCCGACUCUGAAUAGAGACUGCUAAACUUGCUGUGACAUGUCCCUGAGUGACAUGUCUACUCCUUGAGGAGUAGACAAAAAUCUAGAAUUAGUCAAAUCACAAAAUGGCAACCCAAACUUGAAUAGACAUAGUCUACCUGAGCAAAAAUCCCCAGGGGCAACCACAGAGCACUGCUAAUUCCAGAAGUACUGGAUCUCACCGUGCAUUUAUUUGUACAUUCCUUUUUAAUGCCUGCACAAGAAUGAUAUGAUAAUGACAAAUUAAAACUCCUUUCGUUUUCAGUAAAUGUAACAUCAAACCUAAGUGGUAGUGUACUGGAAGUGUUCUGUAUCUCAGCUGUGAUGAUAAUAUUACUGCAUGUAUUUGUGAAAACUUGGCUGAACUACAUGUUAACUGAGGUGUUUACCUAAUUAUGCAUUUAUGAGAUUUUUAAAAUAUUGUAUUAGUUCAAUUGGCACUGCUUUUUUUUAUUUCUUCUUUGUAGUUUAUAAAAUGGUUCCUCUGAACAUUUGAUGGCCUUGGCCUAGACUUGAUGGAAUAUAUCAUGUCUAAAGAUUGACAUUAGAGGGCUGAAAUUCUUUUGUGUCUGACCAGCGUUCUAUGUUGGGUUUAUUUCCCAUAACUAAACAUAAACAUACUCACCAAUUUUUCACAAUUUUCUUGGUUCUAAAACUACUGACUUACAAAAACGUAUUCUGACUCUCAGAAAACAUCAGUUAUAUGUUUUAAAAUUUUCUAUCUGAAAGAUAUUAAGGAUGGAAUCAACAAGAGAUAAAUGAAAAAAAAUGGCACACCCCAAAAGUACAUCCAGGUUACUGUCAUCAAGUUAAGACCAGGAAUAAAUCAAGAACCUGAGCAACCAUCUGCAAAAGUUCAGAGGGAGAAAAAUGUUUUCAUUUAUAUUCUCUAAGAUAAACUCUAGAAGCAUCUAGAUAGAUCAAUCUAAAUUCAUAAUUUUUUUUCUGAGGUUCAGUAGUUCUUAUAGACCUGAGAAUAUAAAACACAUUUGGUUUCAUUCUACAAUGAAUAUACCUUCAGCAUGCUUUUGAUUUCUCACAGCCCCUCCCUUACUUGGUCGGAUGCAAAUUUGUGAUUGCCAUGAUAACCCAUUUCAAAUUGAGGCUUUGAAAUUUUCCUCUGACAUCACAAGUAGCUAAAGGUAUUUUGAGACAUAUCUCACCAACAGCAAGCACCAGAUAUAAGAGAACUAAAUCAUUUUAUUUCUGACACAUGUUUUACUUAAGAAAGUAGGUCAGCCAAGAAUAUUUGAAUGCCUUUCAAUUUCAAAUGCCUGCUUUACAGAAAAACUGAAAUUGUUAACAUAUAUAGGAUUUUUUUCAGUGUCACCGUUCUAUAAAAAUUUGAGUCAAUUUACAAAAAUGAAUUAACUGCCUAAGUUGUACUAGAUAUUUUGAUUUAUGUAUUGAAGUAGGUAAGGCAUAUAUUUUCAGAAGAUUUUGUCAUCUAUUUAAUUUACAUCUGUUAUUUACUAAUUCAUAUCCUGGAAUAAAACA